Non-coding RNA from Pocillopora verrucosa, 5079 nucleotides. Lineage: Eukaryota; Metazoa; Cnidaria; Anthozoa; Scleractinia; Pocilloporidae. The record is from RefSeq and is a predicted model, not a curated record.
UCUUAAAUAAAAAUUAGCAGCUAAAAAUAAAUCCCUCGACAACCAUAUCAAAAAUGCGCCGAAUAAGCAUUUCUUAACGCGCGCACGUGGACAAACAUACGCACACACCAGGUGCUUCGUUUACAGCUGAGCUAAAAAUGUGAUGACUCAACAAAUUGGGGAAACACGGGUGGAUAUCAGCGCUAAAAAGCCACUGCCAAAUGCUAUAAAAGCACUGCGUCUCUGUUAUUCGAACAUCGAAGGAUUGCGCUGCUCAAGCUGUUUCAUCAUCAACAAGAACCAAGAUGGCUCAUGUUUGCCACCAACCUACAGACCCAACAAAUUCAUUUGUGGAAAUCGUUCAGAUUGGAAGAAACUUCGUGCAUCAUAAAGAUGUGACGCUUUACUAUAACUCUGGUCAUGGAAGAGGAGAAUUUACAGCACACGGAGGAAAUAUAAGUCAUAUCGAACGCCACGGCAGAGAUCGAAGACUAACAAUUGAAACCAGAAGCGGACACAAAUUUGAUAUCACUCGCCAUAGAGGAGGAGGCUACCAUUUGAACACUGGAGGAUACUGGCACAAAGAAGAACGUUUAUACCACUAAGCGCGAGGUUUUUCUUGGAGGAACCAUUAUCUUAACCUUUUUAUUAGUAAGUUUGUCACAAGAUCCUAGAAUAGCCAAGGCUGUAAUCGACGAAAAGGUUAAAAUUCUGUAAUCAGUUCAAAGAAAAUAAAAUUUGUAUUGUGUCAUCAAAGAGAGUGCUGUUCUCUUCAUUUGCAAGGUUUCAAUAUCAAAAGUCCCCUUAGACCAUAAAAGGGGAGCUAAAAAUAGGUUUCUUAUCAAUCAGUUAAGAAUGUGCAGCCAAAGCAGAUAUUGUGCCGCGCAGGCGUGGAAAACGUCGAGUAGCGAAAUAUGACAAAACGGAGGAGAAAUAACGAGAAAUCAGGGUUAUACGCUGAGUAAAGCAUCACAGGUUAACAACAAAUCACCGUCAACCUCUUCGAGAAUUGUAGGCAAUCAAAAUGAGUGGCGGAUACCAUCCCCCAGAGCCAAACGCGCGCAAAUAUUGCGAAGUAGUCCAAAUAGGCAUCGAAGACGACACUGCUGAAGUAACGCUUUUCUACACUCCAGAAAGAGAGUUUCAAGUAAGCAACGGAUACGUAUUGGAAGAUAAAGAGGAGAGCAAUUACGGCCGCCGAUACCGCAAAUUGAAACUCGUUACUUCAAAAGCUAACGUGAUUGAAGUCAGGCGAUAUAGCAACGGAGAAUAUCACGUGGACGCCGACGGGAGAAUUUUUAACUUCGAUGGAAGAAAAGUUGAAGUGUAAAAGAGGAUUACUCAAGAAAGACUUCGAUUGACAAGUGAUACAGCCCAAAGAUCUUGAUUCUAAUUUAACGUAAAUAAAAAAUCAUGUUAACUGCCAUAAAUUGUCAAAAUGUUUAUACAUUUUCGUGCAUUGGUGAAACUAUUGUGACAAUAACAGGCAACCAAUUCACUAAGCCCCAAAAGCCACCAAUCACUAAAUAGUGGGAGGUACCCAGACACUAAAAAAAAGGUUUUAAAAUGUUCUCGGCGAAGCAAAAAUAAAGCAUUCCUGCCAUUCUAGUUUGUUCAGAGUCAGUUUUCUCCUUUCCGUAGCUCCGCCUUCUGAAUAUUAUUUAACCUUUCACGCGUAACACACACGUUGACGAUGAUUGAAAAAUCAAGUCAAGCAAAUGACCGAUUUCGAUAAUCGCACCACAAACGAUUACUAAGCGGACUGCAUUACCUUUGUUAGGAAAAAGAUAUACUAGAAGAUAUAUGUAAACAAAUCUUGAGUUAAAAUCUGGUUGUGAGAUAGUGACAAAGAGAAAUUGACCCACUGUAAGAAUGUAAACAAACGAACAACACAAGCGCAAGAGUGCGAGGGAAAUUACGUCGCUCGGGAAGCGCGCGCGAACGAGGAAGCGAAACCGAAAGCUCGCCAAUCCCAAACAAAGGGCUGGAUAAAACAACUGAGCGAAGCAGCUUUCUCCCAGUGUAUUCGUAUUACGCGCAUUCGACGUUGCCUCCAAGACAGUGCGAACCUUCUCUCUCAGUUUUUUUAAGAGAAAUGUCAGAUUUUGAUCCAGUGGAGCCUAGGCAUGGUGAGAAAGUAUCCCUUGGAAAAUACUGCUGCCAUAACGAUGCGGAUGCCAUACUACUGUACUCUCUGGAUAGAAAAAAGUUCGAAGCAGAGUAUGGACGAAUAACUAAGGAAAAAACCUCUGGGAGAAGCACAACGGUGAAACUGCGAUCGGACAGUGGAUGUACUUAUAAAGUCACUCGGCAUGGCAAAGGAAGUAAGUGAAGAUUCACUGAUUUCAACCUUUUUAUAGGGAGUUACGCAUUUGUAACGUUGUCGCAGUCAACAGAUAACGCAAUUUCACAUGAUCUCUUUCAGCGUCUCAUUAUGUUAGUGGUCUGAACUAUCGUCAGCUGAAUACUUUCGAAUUCAUUACCUUAGAAUAUUUUUAUCAUUUGCGUAACCCGUUCAUGUUAAGUGCUUCUUCUUGUUCCUCUUCAUCAAAGAUUAUAGCACUGGUUGGCGUACCUGGAAGAAGGUUGAGACUGUUUCCUAUUAACUGUGACUGUUCAAGAGCACUGGUAGAACCACUCUGUUAAACACUGGGAAAUUGUUGAUUUUAAACGAACCAAGAGCCUAAUAAAGUUUGUAGCAUGGUAUAAAACAUAUAUGAAUCUUAAUGCAAUUUUGCUGAGCAAUGCUAGAGCCACUCUGUUAAACGCUGAAAAAUUGUUGAUUGUAAACGAACCAAGAGCCUAAUAAAGUUUUUAGCAUGGCAUGAAACACAUAUGACUCUUAACAUAAUUUUGCUGGUUGAACAUACAAUGCGUAAAAGAAGCGUGUUCACGCCAAAGCAGAGUUAAUGAACUCCACGCUUACUCUAUCUUCGAAGGACACAAAUAUUGUAAAUAAAAGCAAAUGGAUCGAGCGGUACUUUCCGGAAAUUUUUUGCCAUUAGAAUUCAGGAUCAGUAAAGGAUUUAUCUUUCGAGUGCAGCUGAAAGGUAGAAACCGACGAUUAACGAUCGUAACUUAAACAGGCCACACAUUAAAUAUCAGUCGCCACCGCGGUGGAGGUAAUUGCUAUCACAUAUUUGCGUAUGCUUUUAAUCGGGGUCAACAAUGAAAUGAAAUCUUGAGCGGCUACAACAAUCCGUUCCAAUGUCAAAAAAGGUUCCCUUAGAUCAUAAAAGGGGAGCUAAAAAUAGGUUUCUUAUCAAUCAGUUAUGAAUGUGCAGCCAAAGCAAAUAUUGUGCCGCGCAGGCGUAAAAAAAGUUAAGCUGCGAAAUACGACAAAACGAAGGAGAAAUAACGAGAAAUCAGGGUUAUACGCUGAGCAAAGCAUCACAGUUAAACAACAAAUCAUCGUCUAUUUCCUCGAGAACCGUGGGCAAUCAAAAUGAGUCACGGAUAUCAACCCCGAGAGCCAAACGUGCCUAGAUACUGCGAAGUAGUCCAAAUAGGCAUCGAAGAGGAUACUGCUGAAGUAACACUUUUCUACACUACAGAAAGAGAGUUUCAAGUAAGCAACGGAUACGUAUCGGUGGAUAAAGAAGAGAGCAAUUAUGGCCGGCGAUACCGCAAAUUGAAACUUGUUACUUCAAAAGCUAACGUGAUAGAAGUCAGGCGAUAUGGCGACGGAGGCAGGAAUUUAUGAUCAUCAUAGAGGUUUCAACGUUAUUUGCGCAAACAUUGAUACACCAAUUCGUUUCUUUUCCGCCAAGAAUAUCACUUGGACGCCGACGGGAGAUAUUACAACAUCGAUGGAAGCAAAGUUGAAGUGUAAAAGAGGAUUGCUCAAGAAAGACUUCGAUUGACAAGAGAUACAGCCCACAGAUCUUGAUUCUAAUUUAACGUAAAUAAAAAAUCAUGUUAACUGCCAUAAAUUGUCAAAAUGUUUAUACAUUUUCGUGCAUUGUUGAAACUAUUGUGACAAUAACAGGCAACCGAUUCAGCAAGCCCCAAAAGCCACUAAUCACUAAAUAGUGGGAGGUACCCAGACACUAAAAAAAAAGUUUUAAAAUGUUCUCAGCGAAGCAAAAAUAAAGCAUUCCUGCCAUUCUAGUCUGUUCAGAGUCAGUUUUCUCCUUUCCGUAGCUCCGCCUUCUGAAUAUAAUUUAACCUUUCACGCGUAACACGCACGUUGACGAUGAUUGAAAAAUCAAGUCAAGCAAAUGACCGAUUUCGAUAAUCGCACCACAAACGAUUACUAAGCGGACUGCAUUACCUUUGUUAGGAAAAAGAUAUACUAGAAGAUAUAUGUAAACAAAUCUUUAGUUAAAAUCUGGUUGUAAGAUAGUGACAAAGAGAAAUUGACCCAACGUAAGAAUGUAAACAAACGAACAACACAAGCGCAAGAGUGCGAGGGAAAUUACGUCGCUCGGGAAGCGCGCGCGAACGAGGAAGCGAAACCGAAAGCUCGCCAAUCCCAAACAAAGGGCUGGAUAAAACAACUGAGCGAAGCAGCUUUCUCCCAGUGUAUUCGUAUUACGCGCAUACGACGUUGCCUCUAAGACAGUGCGAACCUUCUAUCACAGUUCUUUUAAGAGAAAUGUCGUAUGAGGGAGAAGAGCCUAGGCUACGUGAGGAAGUAUCCCUUGGAACACGUUUAUGGCAUAUCAAUCCGGAUGUCAUACUACUGUACUUUCUGGAUAGAAAAAAGUUCGGAGUCAAGUAUGGACAAAUAAAAGCGGAAGAAACCUCUGGGACAGACACAACGGUGACACUCAAAUCGAAAAGUGGAUGGAAUUAUGAAGUAACACGGCAUGGCAAAGAAGAUUAUAGCACUAGUUGCGGUACCUGGAUGAAGGUUCAGACUGUUUCCUAUUAACUGUGACUGUUCAAGAGCACUGCCAGAGCCACUCUGUUAAACAUUGGAAAAUUGUUGAUUUUAAACGAACCAAGAGCCUAAUAAAGUUUGUAGCAUGGUAUAAAACAUGUAUGAAUCUUAAUGCAAUUUUGCUGCGCACUGCUAGAGCCACUCUGUUAAACACCGAAAAAUUGUUGAUUGUAAACGAACCAAGAGCCUAAUAAAGUUUGUAGCAUGGCAUGAAA